UAAUAUUUAUUAAUUUAAAAUUCAGAUUUGUUUUUAAAAUACUUUAACUUAAAUGUAGCUGACUGUAACAGCAUAUGCAUGCUUCUUGGUUUACAAAAUAAAAAAAACUCUGGCUUUAACUUUAAACUUAACUUAAAGAAAUGCAUUAUGUUGUUUUAAUUUUGUGAAAAGCUAAGCAAGGGUUAUCACCACUAGCCAACCCUAAUUUAGCAGUUACAGACAAAGCAGCUAGUCAAUAUCAUCAACUGACAACUUGGGCUGCUCUUACUAAGGAAUAGUGGGAUUGAUUGCCACAAUAUAAUUUCUACUAUAUUUGAAAUGGCGAGCAUGUUGGGUGUGAAGGGUAUUGAAACCCAUGAACCUUAGAUUGCAAGUCAAACUUUCUAACCAUCAGACUUUAACUGCAUUGUGAAACAUAUAUUAUCAAUAUUAUUAUAAGUAGAUAUUUUGUAAAAUAGGCUUACUCCUGCUAACAUAGGUGAAUACAGAAGCUUCAGAUCAUUAUUAGCCUAUUCUGUUGAACAAUAAUUACAGCAAAAAAAUCAUUCUCAUAUAGUUAUACAGGGGACAAAAGACCAUAGAGGGAA
Molecule: long non-coding RNA, 587 nt
Organism: Limulus polyphemus (Atlantic horseshoe crab)
Lineage: Eukaryota; Metazoa; Arthropoda; Merostomata; Xiphosura; Limulidae
Exons: 4
Source: RefSeq, a predicted model, not a curated record